Molecule: ribosomal RNA, 253 nt
Filed under: uncultured bacterium
Lineage: Bacteria
Description: partial 16S ribosomal RNA
Rfam family: Bacterial small subunit ribosomal RNA
Source: RNAcentral
UACGUAGGGUGCAAGCGUUAAUCGGAAUUACUGGGCGUAAAGCGUGCGCAGGCGGCUUUGUAAGUCUGAUGUGAAAUCCCCGGGCUCAACCUGGGAAUUGCAUUGGAGACUGCAAGGCUAGAAUCUGGCAGAGGGGGGUAGAAUUCCACGUGUAGCAGUGAAAUGCGUAGAGAUGUGGAGGAACACCGAUGGCGAAGGCAGCCCCCUGGGUCAAGAUUGACGCUCAUGCACGAAAGCGUGGGGAGCAAACAGG